RNAcentral lists this ribosomal RNA (1596 nucleotides) under Triticum aestivum (bread wheat). RNAcentral's name for it is "partial small subunit ribosomal RNA". Lineage: Eukaryota; Viridiplantae; Streptophyta; Magnoliopsida; Poales; Poaceae. The record is from RNAcentral.
AUGAAAGGAAAGAUACUUGAAUUAGAGCCAUCUGACCGCUAGUAGUUCAAGGAGAAGGGAAAGAAAGUGGUGUUUGAGAAAUCCAAGUUUCCGCCACUUGUUUACAAGGGAAAAGAGAAGAUGGUGGAGACACUCAAAUCCAAGCUACCUGGGAAAAGAGGCGGCAUUGCGUUCAUAUUGCCAUCAGCGUCGUCUUCAACAGGAAGGCCCACCAACGCUCGGAACAUACUUCGAGCCGAUGCUCCUGAGUCCGUCCCCUUACUGGCCCAUAAACCUAGUGGGGAAUGCUUGGGAAUAAUGAAACGUUCUGUGGAAUGGAAGGGAGUGUGCCUUACAUCUGGUGACCUCAAAACAGGUCACAUAAAUCAAGCAUCUGCACCAUCAGUUCCUCUAUUUGAAGAAGCACCCAUCUUACGAGAGUCCUUUGAAGGUUUGUUUGAUCCAGUGCGACAUCAAUGGCGACAGAGAAAUAUCCGUCGAUCUUGGAUUGAUCUUCCAGCUCCCGUAGAUCAAGAUGCGGCGAGCCGACACCGCCCUCAUGUGAGCAAGUCCGUCAAGGGGAGAUGGAAAAACACUCGUCCAAAGAUCCAAGUUCAGAAUCCAGAUGACUCAUAUGUUAUUGUUCUCGGCGCAUCCACAUCACAAAAUGAUGAAGGUGGUGCCAUCAUGCGACUGGCGGAGGCCCUGGCCCAAUGACCUGAGUACCAAUAAUUCAUUCAGCAACAUCCUGAACAUCAAGAGUAUGUGAACCAAGCUGCACGUGUCCGUUCAAGAAGGGCAGCGUACAAAGAAAGAGAAAGGGCAGUACAUGCAAGGUCUGGGUGAAGCAGAGUCCAAGGGGCAGAACACACUCCAUCUGAUGAGCCCUCUCGUAAGCAUACCAAGAAUAAAUCAUUCGAGUUGUUGCAAGCAAUGCCAAUUGGUGUCAGGGUGGCGUCGGACAAGACCAGCAAAAGAUCCUCCACAUCAACACAUUUCAAGAGGAAGAAGGCACGCAAAACUGUUGUAGAGGGUCCUCGUCGUAAGACACGAAGUCAAAAAGGUUUAGAUUAUGAAGAACUUGGGUCCGGCUAUGGUGGGUCUUAUAAUCCCCUAUCGGACAGUACCCCUUGUCCUUCUGAAAAUGAGAUAGAACCCCCCCCCCAUGGUGCAGAACAUAUAGAACAAGUCCUAGCCACAAAUGGAACUCGUUCGGUUGAGGAGCAAUUAGCCAACCUUACGACAGCACUUCAACAAAAGGAAGAAGAGCUAGCAGCCCUUCGAAUUCAAAUGACCAAUAACCAGAACAAAGGAAAUGAAGGGGCUGGUGGCGUGAGUGCUAGCUGCCAACAUGGAGGAGCAGGGCUUAACCUUGAGGCGAUCCAAAGUAUGACCGCUGAGGGGGUAAAGUCCCAGUUGAUGCCAACUCAGUACUCGAUGCGGCCAGGGUAUGUUAAGCCGCACCCACCUGAUGUGGACCUAGUUCCUUUCCCAACAAAUUAUAGGCAGCCGCAGUUUAGUAAGUUCAAUGGGAGUGGAUCUCCCCAUGAGCAUAUAGCACACUUCCUUGCUGCUUGUCAAGAUACAGCCAACAAUGGAGCACUUCUCCUUAGAUAG